This 274-nucleotide ribosomal RNA is filed under the name uncultured bacterium. RNAcentral's name for it is "partial 16S ribosomal RNA". It matches the Rfam family "Bacterial small subunit ribosomal RNA", at positions 523 to 796 of the family's 1533-position model. The record is from RNAcentral.
CUACGGAGGGGGCUAGCGUUAUUCGGAAUUACUGGGCGUAAAGCGCACGUAGGCGGCGUAUCAAGUUAGAGGUGAAAGCCCAGGGCUCAACCCUGGAAUUGCCUUUAAGACUGAUAUGCUCGAGUUCGGAAGAGGGUAGUGGAAUUCCAAGUGUAGAGGUGAAAUUCGUAGAUAUUUGGAAGAACACCAGUGGCGAAGGCGGCUACCUGGUCCGAUACUGACGCUGAGGUGCGAAAGCGUGGGGAGCAAACAGGAUUAGAAACCCUUGUAGUCC